UUUUUUAUAAAAAUAAUUUAUUGAUUUAUUGUUUUAGUACUUAUUAAAAAUAAAUUUAAAGUUUUAUAGUUUAUUAGUAUUGUGAAAGAAUUAUUUUUUAAAUUUAAUAAAGAAUAAUUAAUUAGUACCUUUUGUAUCAGGGUUAAUUAAAAUUUUUAAUUUAUUUUUAAUUUCUCAAAAUUUAUAGAGUUAAUUUUAUUAUUUAAGUUAUUGUUUUAUAAAUAUUUAAAAAAUAGGUUUAGAUUUGAAAUUUAAUUCGUUAUAAAAUAUUUAGUUAUUUAAGAUUUAAAUUUAAUUUAUAAUUUUAAUAGUUAUUUUAAUUUAAAUUAAAAUUAUUUUAAAAUUAAAUUAUUUUAGGGAUAAGCUUAAAAUUUUUAUAUAAUAUUAAUUUUUUUUUAUAAUUUUUAGGAAUAGUAAUUUUUAUUUUAAGUUUGUAAAAAUUUAUUAUUUAAGUUUAUUUAAAUUUAUUAUAUAGUUUAUUUUUUAUAUUAAAUUUUAUAAAUUAAUUAUUAAUUUAUAGUAAUAAUGAUUAAAUUAGUAUAAUAGUUGAUUUAUAAAUUAUGAAUUCGGCAAAUUUUAUUUUCAUCUGUUUAACAAAAACAUUGUAUUAAGUUUUAUUUAAUAUAUAAUCUGCUCAAUGAUUUUAAAUUAAAUAGCUGCAGUAUUUUGACUGUGCAAAGGUAGCAUAAUAAUUAGUCUUUUAAUUGAGGACUUGUAUGAAAGAUUUGAUGAGAAAUAAACUUUAUUAUUUAUAAAAUUAAAAUUUUAUUUUUAAGUAAAAAAGCUUAAAUUUUUUUAAGGGACGAUAAGACCCUAUAAAACUUUAUAAUAUAUUUAAUUUUAAUUUUUUUGUAAAUUAUUUAAUUAGAUUUUUUUUAUUAUUUUAUUGGGGUGAUAAAAAAAAAUUAAUAACUUUUUUUAAAUUUUAACAUUAAUUUAUGGUUAUUUGAAUUAAUAUUUUUAAUUAAAGGGAAAAGUUACUUUAGGGAUAACAGCGUAAUUAGUUUUUAAAGUUCAAAUUUAAAAAUUAGUUUGCGACCUCGAUGUUGAAUUAAGAUAAUUUUUAGGUGCAAAAUUUUAAAUUUUAGGUCUGUUCGACCUUUAAAUUCUUACAUGAUUUGAGUUCAAACC
This 1131-nucleotide ribosomal RNA is filed under the name Adelges laricis (larch wooly adelgid). RNAcentral describes it as "partial 16S large subunit ribosomal RNA". Lineage: Eukaryota; Metazoa; Arthropoda; Insecta; Hemiptera; Adelgidae. The record is from RNAcentral.